UCAAACUUGGUCAUUUAGAGGAAGUAAAAGUCGUAACAAGGUUUCCGUAGGUGAACCUGCGGAAGGAUCAUUAUUAUUUGGAUAGGGUUAACAUUGAUUUCGUCCUUUUUGUAUUCAGUCAGUGGUAACCUCUUCCAAAUAUUUUAUAUUUGUUACUCUUUUUUUUUAAAAAAAGGAGCAAGAUGAUAUAUAUUUAAAACCCAACUCAUAAAAUUAUGUAUAUUUUGAAUGAUAAAAUUAAAAAGAUCACUUUCAACAACGGAUCUCUUGGCUCUCGCAUCGAUGAAGAACGCAGC
This 296-nucleotide unclassified non-coding RNA is filed under the name uncultured fungus. RNAcentral describes it as "partial contains small subunit ribosomal RNA, internal transcribed spacer 1, and 5.8S ribosomal RNA". The stretch from base 1 to 73 matches the Rfam family "Eukaryotic small subunit ribosomal RNA", at positions 1759 to 1831 of the family's 1831-position model. Lineage: Eukaryota; Fungi. The record is from RNAcentral.